AAAAAACGUGUGUGAUGAUAAGGAAUCACUGUCUACAUUAGUAAUUCCCAACUUGGGUCCGAAAGUGAACUUUUGCUGAAGCGAAGUAGCUAACUGCUUCCAUGUGCAAGGCAGGUUCCAGACUUCGGGUGUGCUCACUGAUCCGCCUCCAGGGCCACCGCCAUGUCGAGCCGCGGUGGGAAGAAGAAGUCCACCAAGACGUCCAGGUCUGCCAAAGCAGGAGUCAUCUUUCCCGUGGGGCGGAUGCUGCGGUACAUCAAGAAAGGCCACCCCAAGUACAGGAUUGGAGUGGGGGCACCCGUGUACAUGGCCGCCGUCCUGGAAUACCUGACAGCGGAGAUUCUGGAGCUGGCUGGCAAUGCAGCGAGAGACAACAAGAAGGGACGGGUCACACCCCGGCACAUCCUGCUGGCUGUGGCCAAUGAUGAAGAGCUGAAUCAGCUGCUAAAAGGAGUCACCAUAGCCAGUGGGGGUGUGUUACCCAACAUCCACCCCGAGUUGCUAGCGAAGAAGCGGGGAUCCAAAGGAAAGUUGGAAGCCAUCAUCACACCACCCCCAGCCAAAAAGGCCAAGUCUCCAUCCCAGAAGAAGCCUGUAUCUAAAAAAGCAGGAGGCAAGAAAGGGGCCCGGAAAUCCAAGGUAUGUGAUUUGGCCAGAAUGUAUGAAGUGGGAUAGGA
RNAcentral lists this small RNA (677 nucleotides) under Pan troglodytes (chimpanzee). RNAcentral describes it as "processed transcript". The record is from RNAcentral. Lineage: Eukaryota; Metazoa; Chordata; Mammalia; Primates; Hominidae.